This 460-nucleotide ribosomal RNA is filed under the name uncultured bacterium. RNAcentral's name for it is "partial 16S ribosomal RNA". It matches the Rfam family "Bacterial small subunit ribosomal RNA", at positions 338 to 795 of the family's 1533-position model. The record is from RNAcentral.
CCUACGGGAGGCUGCCGUGAGGAAUAUUGGUCAAUGGACGAGAGUCUGAACCAGCCAAGUAGCGUGAAGGAUGACUGCCCUAUGGGUUGUAAACUUCUUUUAAAUGGGAAUAAAAUGUUCCAAGUGUGGGAUUUUGUAUGUACCAUAUGAAUAAGGAUCGGCUAACUCCGUGCCAGCAGCCGCGGUAAUACGGAGGAUCCGAGCGUUAUCCGGAUUUAUUGGGUUUAAAGGGAGCGUAGGUGGAUUGUUAAGUCAGUUGUGAAAGUUUGCGGCUCAACCGUAAAAUUGCAGUUGAAACUGGCAGUCGUGAGUACAGUAGAGGUGGGCGGAAUUCGUGGUGUAGCGGUGAAAUGCUUAGAUAUCACGAAGAACUCCGAUUGCGAAGGCAGCUCACUGGACUGCAACUGACACUGAGGCUCGAAAGUGUGGGUAUCAAACAGGAUUAGAUACCCGAGUAGUC